AUGAGCUGUGACGAGAUGAGCCGCCGCCGCCCACGCUCGCCGCCGCCGGUGCCGCCGCUGGACGAUGACAACCUUCUCUCCGAGAUCCUCCUCCGCCUCCCACCAGAUCCGUCCUCCCUCCCUCGCGCCUCCCUCGUCUCCAAGCGCUGGCUCGGUCUUGUCUCCGACCCCGGCUUCUCCCGCCGCUUCCGGCUCCACCACCGCGGCAACCCUCCUCUCCUCGGUUUCUUCGACCCCUUGCACUUCGUACCUACAAUGGAUCCCCCCAAUCGUGUCCCGGAUGGCCGCUUCUCCUUGUGCCCAGACGGCAAAGAUUGGGGCGGCAUCUUCAUGCCCUUGGGAUCCCGCCAUGGCCUCCUACUCGUCUUCCACCUUUCGCGGAAGCUGCUCCUGGUGUCGGACCCCUUCAACGUCGACCAGCACCGCCUUGCCGUUCCCCCGGAGUUCGAUAUGGAGUCGGCCCGGUUCAGCGGGGCGGUGUUUCGCGCCACCGGAGACAUCCUACACUUCCAGGUGGUGUUGGUAACCACAGAGACAGACGAGCAGCAGCAUACAAGGGUCAUCGCCCGUGUUUACUCGUCGGAGACUGGAGGAUGGGGCGAUCGCAUCUCAACACCACUACCAUCCAAACUUCCCACCAAGAGUCGUAUGGACUUUACUAUGGGUGUGCUAGUUGGUCAUUCCCUUUACUGGCUGUUCAAUGAUAGAUCAGCAACAGCUGAAAUUUUGGAUGGCAUCCUUGAGUUUGAUUUGGAGAGGCAGAUCCUAGCUGUGAAACCGGUGCCAGUGGAUAUUCUCAAGAAAAACAUCUACCAAUUCCAGGUUAUGCGGGCAGAUGGUGGUGGCCUUGGCAUUCUCUUUUUGUCAAAUUUCAGUGCCCAGUUAUGGAAGAUGGAGACUGAUUCUGAUGGCGUUGCUUCAUGGGUUCUGGGAAAAACUGUUGAACUGGACAUGUUACUUUCCCUGAAUACAGAAGAUGGGGAGUCCCUGAUUCUACAAGGGUUUGCUGAAUACAAUAAUGUGGUGUUCCUACGGACACACACCAACCUCUUCACGAUCCAGCUUGAGUCACUGCAGUUCAAGAAAGUUUUUAAACCCAACUUCAUGACUCACUAUCAUCCGUUCGAAAGUGUCUAUGCUGCAGGCACGGGCAUUGGUGGUGGACAUGAUGGAGCUGAACUUUUGCGCAAUACAUAA
This 1197-nucleotide ribosomal RNA is filed under the name Triticum aestivum (bread wheat). Its description in RNAcentral is "partial small subunit ribosomal RNA". Lineage: Eukaryota; Viridiplantae; Streptophyta; Magnoliopsida; Poales; Poaceae. The record is from RNAcentral.